Long non-coding RNA from Oncorhynchus nerka (sockeye salmon), 1197 nucleotides. RefSeq lists it as uncharacterized. The record is from RefSeq and is a predicted model, not a curated record. The transcript is spliced from 2 exons. Lineage: Eukaryota; Metazoa; Chordata; Actinopteri; Salmoniformes; Salmonidae.
CAGAGUUGAUCACUAUGGAAGCAUUCAGUUCUGCUUGCUUCCUUAUCCCAUUGUGUAUUGUCCUGGAUGAAAGGCGUAUGAAAAAUAGGUUAAGGUUAUGUGUGUCCAUACAGACAGACUUUGUUACUAGAGUAAAAAGCAAUAGCACCAUAGCAUUGAAGGUGGACAACAUCCAAUAAAGAAUAUCUCAUGAAGAAAAUAAGUAACAGGAGCGCUAUUUGUGAUCCCCCAGACACAGGAGAUCAGACCCAGACACAGACCUGAGCCCUAGGACCAUGCCCCAGGACUACCUGACAUGAUGACUCCUUGCUGUCUCCAGUCCACCUGACCGUGCUGCUGCUCCAGUUUCAACUGUUCUGCCUUAUUAUUAUUUCGACCAUGCUGGUCAUUUAUGAACAUUUGAACAUCUUGGCCAUGUUCUGUUAUAAUCUCCACCCGGCACAGCCAGAAGAGGACUGGCCACCCCACAAAGCCUGGUUCCUCUCUAGGUUUCUUCCUAGUUUUUCCUAGCCACCGUGCUUCUACACCUGCAUUGCUUGCUGUUUGGGGUUUUAGGCUGGGUUUCUGUACCGCACUUUGAGAUAUCAGCUGAUGUACGAAGGGCUAUAUAAAUACAUUUGAUUUGAUUCAAUUUGUUAUACCCAUUUACCAAAAGGUGCCCUUCUUUGGUAAACCUCCCUGGUCUUUGUAGUUGAAACUGUGUUUAAAAAUCACUGCUCGACUGAGGGACCUUACAGAUAAUGAAUUGUAUCUGUGGGGUACAGAGAUGAGAGAGUGAUUCAAAAAUCGUGUUAAACACUAUCAUUGCACAAAGAGUGAGCCCGUGCAACUUAUUAUGUGACCUGUUAAGCACAUUUAUACUCCUGAAUUUAUUUAUGCUUGCCAUAACAAAGGGGUUGAAUACUUAUUGACUCAACACGUUUCAGAUUUUAAUUUUGUAUUUAUUUGUAAAAACGACAAAUCUAAAAACCUAUUCCACUUUGACAUGGAGUAUAAUGUAGGUCUAUAGUGAUUAUGAUUGAGCAGAGUGCCGUCAGACAUGGUGGAAGCACAGCUAGGCCUGAUUAGCAAGUCCUUUUAAUAUACUCUUACUGAGUAUUGGUAUUCAGAUGAGAGCAUGGACCAGGAAACCACCAACCUCAACCAUUCACUUCUAUAAGAAUUACACUUUAAAUUGAUAAAGCCUGCUGAGCGUUA